RNAcentral lists this ribosomal RNA (794 nucleotides) under Corynebacterium sp. YIM 101520. RNAcentral describes it as "bacterial SSU rRNA". It matches the Rfam family "Bacterial small subunit ribosomal RNA", at positions 55 to 863 of the family's 1533-position model. The record is from RNAcentral. Lineage: Bacteria; Bacillati; Actinomycetota; Actinomycetes; Mycobacteriales; Corynebacteriaceae.
AUGCAGUCGAACGGAAAGGCCCCGCUUGCGGGGUACUCGAGUGGCGAACGGGUGAGUAACACGUGGGUGAUCUGCCCUGCACUUCGGGAUAAGCCUGGGAAACUGGGUCUAAUACCGGAUAUGACCUUCCUUUAGUGUGGGGGGUGGAAAGAUUUAUCGGUGCAGGAUGAGCCCGCGGCCUAUCAGCUUGUUGGUGGGGUAAUGGCCUACCAAGGCGUCGACGGGUAGCCGGCCUGAGAGGGUGGACGGCCACAUUGGGACUGAGAUACGGCCCAGACUCCUACGGGAGGCAGCAGUGGGGAAUAUUGCACAAUGGGCGGAAGCCUGAUGCAGCGACGCCGCGUGGGGGAUGACGGCCUUCGGGUUGUAAACCUCUUUCGACAGGGACGAAGUGAAAAUGACGGUACCUGUAUAAGAAGCACCGGCUAACUACGUGCCAGCAGCCGCGGUAAUACGUAGGGUGCGAGCGUUGUCCGGAAUUACUGGGCGUAAAGAGCUCGUAGGUGGUUUGUCACGUCGUCUGUGAAAUUCCGGGGCUUAACCUCGGGCGUGCAGGCGAUACGGGCAAUACUUGAGUGCUGUAGGGGAGACUGGAAUUCCUGGUGUAGCGGUGAAAUGCGCAGAUAUCAGGAGGAACACCAAUGGCGAAGGCAGGUCUCUGGGCAGUUACUGACGCUGAGGAGCGAAAGCAUGGGUAGCGAACAGGAUUAGAUACCCUGGUAGUCCAUGCCGUAAACGGUGGGCGCUAGGUGUAGGGGACUUCCACGUUCUCUGUGCCGUAGCUAACGCAUUAA